CGGAGAGUAGUAUAGUGGUAGUAUACAUGCUUUGGGAGCAUGCGGUCCGAGUUCGAUUCUCGGCUCUCCGACAA
RNAcentral lists this transfer RNA (74 nucleotides) under Candidatus Azambacteria bacterium RIFCSPHIGHO2_01_FULL_51_74. Its description in RNAcentral is "tRNA-Pro". It matches the Rfam family "tRNA". From Rfam's summary of the family: Transfer RNA (tRNA) molecules are approximately 80 nucleotides in length. Their secondary structure includes four short double-helical elements and three loops (D, anti-codon, and T loops). RNAcentral also lists the same sequence under 2 other names. Lineage: Bacteria; Candidatus Azamiibacteriota. The record is from RNAcentral.